Molecule: ribosomal RNA, 466 nt
Filed under: uncultured bacterium
Lineage: Bacteria
Description: bacterial SSU rRNA
Rfam family: Bacterial small subunit ribosomal RNA
Source: RNAcentral
UAGUCCACGCCGUAAACGAUGUCUACUUGGAGGUUGUGGCCUUGAGCCGUGGCUUUCGGAGCUAACGCGUUAAGUAGACCGCCUGGGGAGUACGGUCGCAAGAUUAAAACUCAAAUGAAUUGACGGGGCCCGCACAAGCGGUGGAGCAUGUGGUUUAAUUCGAUGCAACGCGAAGAACCUUACCUACUCUUGACAUCCAGAGAACUUUCCAGAGAUGGAUUGGUGCCUUCGGGAACUCUGAGACAGGUGCUGCAUGGCUGUCGUCAGCUCGUGUUGUGAAAUGUUGGGUUAAGUCCCGCAACGAGCGCAACCCCUAUCCUUGUUUGCCAGCACGUAAUGGUGGGAACUCCAGGGAGACUGCCGGUGAUAAACCGGAGGAAGGUGGGGACGACGUCAAGGUCAUCAUAGCCUUAUGGGGCUGGGGCUACACACGUGCUACAAUGGUAGAUACAGAGGGCAGCGACCA